GAGCUGGCGAAGGUCGGCCGCGCUCCGAUCCCCGAGAGCUCCCGCGGGCUGGGCGCGGGACGCCGGGCUAGGCCUUAGCCCCCGGGAUUUAGAGCAUCCUCGCGACCACCUGGAGGUUUCUGGGGGCCACUCUGUGGAUGAGGAAGCUGACGCCUGGGUGCAGAACCCCGGACCCCCGGAUUCAGAGCCCAGGUCCAGCGCGCUUCCGCACAAACUUGCGCCCGGAGCAAGUCCCCUCCUUCCCAGCACUCAUCUGAGACCAGAGGUGUCCCCACCGUCCCCGCGAACAGCCCUGGUCAUAUUAUGGGCCAACCUUUAAAAAAGAAAAAAGAAAAAAAAAAGAAACUGUUAAACCACA
This 358-nucleotide long non-coding RNA is filed under the name Pongo abelii (Sumatran orangutan). RNAcentral describes it as "lincRNA". Lineage: Eukaryota; Metazoa; Chordata; Mammalia; Primates; Hominidae. The record is from RNAcentral.